RNAcentral lists this ribosomal RNA (468 nucleotides) under uncultured bacterium. RNAcentral's name for it is "partial 16S ribosomal RNA". It matches the Rfam family "Bacterial small subunit ribosomal RNA", at positions 28 to 507 of the family's 1533-position model. The record is from RNAcentral.
GACGAACGCUGGCGGCGUGCUUAACACAUGCAAGUCGAACGGAAAGGCCCUGCUUUUGUGGGGUGCUCGAGUGGCGAACGGGUGAGUAACACGUGAGUAACCUGCCCUUGACUUUGGGAUAACUUCAGGAAACUGGGGCUAUUACCGGAUAGGAGCUCCUGCUGCACGGUGGGGGUUGGUAAGUUUCGGCGGUUGGGGAUGGACUCGCGGCUUAUCAGCUUGUUGGUGGGGUAGUGGCUUACCAAGGCUUUGACGGGUAGCCGGCCUGAGAGGGUGACCGGCCACAUUGGGACUGAGAUACGGCCCAGACUCCUACGGGAGGCAGCAGUGGGGAAUAUUGCACAAUGGGCGGAAGCCUGAUGCAGCAACGCCGCGUGCGGGAUGACGGCCUUCGGGUUGUAAACCGCUUUCGCCUGUGACGAAGCGUGAGUGACGGUAAUGGGUAAAGAAGCACCGGCUAACUACGUG